AAGCGGAGGAAAAGAACCAACAGGGAUUGCCUCAGUAACGGCGAGUGAAGCGGCAAAAGCUCAAAUUUGAAAUCUAGUCUCCUCUGGGGGCUCGAGUUGUAAUUUGCAGAGGAAACUUUGGGGAAAUCUUU
RNAcentral lists this ribosomal RNA (131 nucleotides) under Pyxidiophora arvernensis. RNAcentral's name for it is "partial large subunit ribosomal RNA". It matches the Rfam family "Eukaryotic large subunit ribosomal RNA", at positions 48 to 177 of the family's 3401-position model. Lineage: Eukaryota; Fungi; Ascomycota; Laboulbeniomycetes; Pyxidiophorales; Pyxidiophoraceae. The record is from RNAcentral.